UCUGGUAUCUUAAAUCCCCAUUUAAGUGAGUAAUAAAUUACUACGUCGUUUAUUUCCAGAGAAGCCGCCCUUUUAAUCAGUUUGCAGCAUCACUAAGAGCAGGCACCCCCAAUUUUCGGCCUGCCAGAUGUUUUGGACUACAAUUCCCAUCAUCCCUGACCACCGGUCCUGUUAGCUAGGGAUCAUGGGAGUUGUAGGCCAAAACAUCUGGAGGGCCGCAGGUUGGGGAUGUCUGACUAAGAGCCUUGGGAUACUUUCAAAAGUACAGCAAAUUCCUAUGUUUACUAAGACGCAAAAAAAUUAAUUAACUCUUGGGCGUUAUGCAGUGGGAUCUACUUCUGAAUAACUAGGGUUGGUGCCCCGGAAGACAAUGACACUGCAAAUUUUAAUAAGCUUACUCGGCAGAAAGUGGCACCGCGUUUAAUUGUAUUUAUUCCUAGGGAGGUGUGCAUAGGAUUGCAGCUAUCAUUGCACUUCUGUGCAUAUUCACUUGGAAAUAAAUCUGACUGUGUUCCUUGCUCCAAUCCUGUACAUGCUUACUUUGGAGUAGACUCCGUUUAGUAUUGAUUUACUUCUGAGUAAACAUAUACAGAAUUGUGACUGUUAUAGAAUCAUAGAAUUGUAGAGUUGGAAGGGACCCUGAGGAUCAUCUAGGCCAACCCCCUGCAAUGCAGGAAUAAAUCAGCUAGUCUAUAACUGUGAAGUCCUUUUAAAUACAUAUUAAGAAAUAAGCCCCAUUGUAUUUGCUGUAAGCGUGGAUGGGAUCACACCCCACAACUCUUUGUUGGUUAUAUUGCUUACUUACUACAUUGCUUACCAAACCACUCUGAACAACAACAAAAAUAGUAAAAUCACUAUAAAUCAAACAACCUUCAAUAAUACUUAAAACAAUAAUCCUCUAAAUUCCCUCAUGUGUAUUGAUGCUUGUCAAUUCAGGAUCUUUGUGCAUCUGGUAAAUAGUUAUGAAAGUUUAUUGCAUUUACAUUUAUAAGUAUUUAAGGUGCCACAAGACUCUAAUUUUUGCUACAAUAGACUAAAAUGGCUCUCCUGUAAAUUUAAAAGUGGACAGCAGUCCAUUUAUCAAAACACUGUUCCAACAUACAUUGUGGUACUUUAAAAAAAUCCUAAUUGGUACCAGUGCAGUCAGGCCGGGAUUGGCCUAUCUUGCCCUGGUGAGCAACAAAGUAAGUACAGUUAACUCUUUAUUAGGUGGGGAAAAGGAUCUGCACAGAAGUAUUAGGCCAAAUAAGCACAGCAGUUCUUCUUUGGUAGGUUCCCUAAUGAAGCAGCUGCGGAGAUUGAAGGGUCUCCAGGGUUUUCCCCAAGCAAUCUGAGACUGCGCCUGUAUGACGCUAAUUUCUCCGUCAUCCUCUUCAUGCCUCUCUUGGCUCUGGGAAACCAGGCUGGAGCUAGGGGAGCUUGUUGCAGCAGGAUGGGGAGACACCUGUACACCUUCACCAGCCUGACUCAUCUCUGCCUAUUGGCCUCCCUCAUUCUACUCACCUGCUUUAGCGUCUGCUUCUGGACUUCUCUCUGCCAUAAACACUGUCUGCUCACUAAGCCCUGCUGCCUCUUCAGCUUCUGACACUUCCUUCUCCCUCUGACCACUCAUCGUUGUCCCAUCACCACUUCCUGGGCUCUGAGCCUUCUUCCCUUGGUGGUUCCCCAGCUGCUUCCUCCCACCAUUCCUCUGUAUCCAAAUAGUCCAUGACAACAUUGCCAGGUACCAAACCGAUUGCAUUCUGAAAAUAUUCUUAGGUGAACAAUUCAUUUUUUAUUUCAGACAUUUAUAUACAGUACCACUUUUAGUAGUUAUGAUGAGCUAUGCAUCUGAGCCAUGGGGGACCACCCACAGAGACUCCCUCAACUAUCUUAGUAAUUGGGCUGGAUAUAAAGGUGGUGUUUGAGAUAUCCUGGAUGCAAGGGGGUAAGGGCUUUGUAAAUUAAGACAAGAACCUUGAACUAGUUUAGAUGUACAGUCACAAAGCUGUGUGGCAAGCAGGACGUUAGCAGGUGUUCAGCAGAUAAAGGUAAAAGGACCCCUGACCAUUAGGUCCAGUCGUGACCGACUCUGGGGUUGUGGCGCUCAUCUCGCUUAGCCGGCGUACAGCUUCCAGGUCAUGUGGCCAGCAUGACUAAGCCGCUUCUGGCGAACCAGAGCAGUGCACGGAAACGCCGUUUACCUUCCCACCAGAGCGGUACCUAUUUAUCUACUUGCACUUUGACGUGCUUUCGAACUGCUAGGUUAGCAGGAGCAGGGACCGAGCAACGGGAGCUCACCCCGUCGUGGGGAUUUGAACUGCCGACCUUCUGAUCAGCAAGUCCUAGGCUCAGUGGUUUAACCCACAGCACCACCCGCGUCCCUAUGUUCAGCAGAUAGCACUAGACAAAUUCAUGAUGUGUUGAACCCUAAGCAGAAAUGGAUACUGGUCAGUGUCCAGAUAGGAGACUGCCUGGAAGCUUUAUAAAUAUUGCCUUGGGGUCCAUGGAAGAAAGAUGUGAUAUACAUUUAACAGAUAAUCAAACCUCCAUGUUCAGAAGCAAUAUAUCUCUUUAAUACCAGAUGCUGCACACAAACAAGGGAAAGGCUGUAAUAUUCACGUUCUGUUUGUAAGUGCCCAGAAUAAUCCUGAAUAGUGUUGGAAAUCAAUUACUGAUCCAAUAAGUCAGUGGCAUUAAUUUAUGGGACGCAGGGCAGAAUCUAAGCUUUUCCUAGCACUGAAUCUACAUGUUGGGGAAACCCUCGGCUGCAGGAUUUAUGGGUGUUAAAUGGCUCUUGAAAGGGAAUUGCUGAAGGAUGGGCAUGAAUCAAGUUAAGUUAGUAUAUUUUAAAAAACAAUGAACACAUUAGUUUGCUCCGGCCUAAACAUGAACCAAAUCAAGCUCAGCUUAAUAGCUAUGUAUAACGACGCAUGAAGGGCUUGAUUUCCUGGUUUUCUUGCCCUUCUGGGACUGUAAAAAGUAAACAGGGGCCUCAUCAAGCACCUGCCACCUGGCAAAUAGUCAGUGAGACGGAUCGUGGACAAGAGUUUGCCAUAGCACAUCAAACCAACUUCCUGUAAACACUGGGGUUACAGAAUGGUAUAAAUUGUGAAUUUAUUGCAGUACAUAAUCAAGGUAGAAUGCAAUCCUAAACAUUAUUAGCACCUGUCAGCAUAGAAUCAGGGGGUGGUAUUCAUUUGUUAUUAAUUUAGAUUAAAUGAAAAUGAAUAAAUGUGAGACAGGGCAACCUUUCCAUAUUAUAUUACACAACAGCCUUUUUAUUUUCUCAGGAUUUUCCCAAUU
RNAcentral lists this long non-coding RNA (3285 nucleotides) under Podarcis lilfordi (Lilford's wall lizard). The record is from RNAcentral. Lineage: Eukaryota; Metazoa; Chordata; Lepidosauria; Squamata; Lacertidae.